Molecule: ribosomal RNA, 503 nt
Filed under: Salmonella enterica
Lineage: Bacteria; Pseudomonadati; Pseudomonadota; Gammaproteobacteria; Enterobacterales; Enterobacteriaceae
Description: partial 23S ribosomal RNA
Rfam family: Bacterial large subunit ribosomal RNA
Source: RNAcentral
GGCCAUCGCUCAACGGAUAAAAGGUACUCCGGGGAUAACAGGCUGAUACCGCCCAAGAGUUCAUAUCGACGGCGGUGUUUGGCACCUCGAUGUCGGCUCAUCACAUCCUGGGGCUGAAGUAAGUCCCAAGGGUAUGGCUGUUCGCCAUUUAAAGUGGUACGCGAGCUGGGUUUAGAACGUCGUGAGACAGUUCGGUCCCUAUCUGCCGUGGGCGCUGGAGAACUGAGGGGGGCUGCUCCUAGUACGAGAGGACCGGAGUGGACGCAUCACUGGUGUUCGGGUUGUCAUGCCAAUGGCACUGCCCGGUAGCUAAAUGCGGAAGAGAUAAGUGCUGAAAGCAUCUAAGCACGAAACUUGCCCCGAGAUGAGUUCUCCCUGAGACUUAGAGUCUCCUGAAGGAACGUUGAAGACGACGACGUUGAUAGGCCGGGUGUGUAAGCGCAGCGAUGCGUUGAGCUAACCGGUACUAAUGAACCGUGAGGCUUAACCUUACAACGCCGAAG